CAUUGCUGUAGCAUGACAGGACAAGAAAUCUGGGUAGUCAAGGAUAAGUCUAUUUCCGAAUCGAGAGGGUUAUCAGUGGAUAGGAAUCGGAACGUAUUUCUUGUUGGUCAAACCUCAAACAACCUGACAGUAAUACAACAUGACGGGAAAGAUAGCAAGGUCUUACUUACUGAUCGUGAUGGACUUGAAUCUCCUUAUGCAGUGAAUUACAACAAACAAAAGAAGAUUAUAUGUUUUGGCUACAAGGCAAGAAGCGUCGCAUUGUACCAAGUGUCGUAAAACUACAUGUUGACAUCACAAUGAAGUCUUUACUGUUUGUUAUGGUUAGUCUUACAUUAAGUUUUUAAAUGAUGCUACAUUCUCAAUAUUCAAAAAGAGACGAAAACUUAACUUGUCAUUAGUUUGGUUAUUUAAUUCAAAAGAAAUUAUUUUGCUUAAAAUAUUUAGUUAUUACACGC
Molecule: long non-coding RNA, 458 nt
Filed under: Mytilus galloprovincialis (Mediterranean mussel)
Lineage: Eukaryota; Metazoa; Mollusca; Bivalvia; Mytilida; Mytilidae
Source: RNAcentral